Sebastes umbrosus (honeycomb rockfish) is the source of this 1621-nucleotide long non-coding RNA. RefSeq lists it as uncharacterized. The transcript is spliced from 3 exons. The record is from RefSeq and is a predicted model, not a curated record. Lineage: Eukaryota; Metazoa; Chordata; Actinopteri; Perciformes; Sebastidae.
GGACACUACCUAUAAGCAAGGAAAGAGCCAUGAUGCGGCUUUGCUUGUCGUAGCUUUUGCCUGAAGAGGAGGAAGUGAAGGAAGGAAAUAAGGAAGAGCUGUGAGAGCACCGGAGUACAUUUUGGAGCUACUGUGGGUAUAGGAAAGCUGAUGAAGGAGUUCCGUGCUUGACUCACACCUGUUGCUAAAAGAUUACAAAAGGCCUGUUUCCAGCGCCGUGCAGGCUACCAACAAGAGACUAUCAAAGGGAAGGAAUGGGCUUUCAAGUCAGGACCCUUCGAUUGUGUUACAGAUUGGUUCCAGGUGAGGCAGCUUUGGGAAGUUCAGCCGGAGGAAAAUUGCCCCUCCGUGCAGCGCUUGUGAGAGGCAGGGAGGCUUCACGGUUGGCAUGGUGCUCCGGAAUUCCAAUACCACUCACGUUUGGUGGGAUUUCUGAGGGAUGAACGCUGGGCCUCAAAAAUCUUGUUGUGGUUGAUUGCAGCUACAUUAAAAGCUAAGCCCAGACAAAAAAAAGGGGUAUACAGAGUGUCUGGCUGUUUCAAAAAAAGCAUGCUGAAUAGCUGGAUAGCACCACAGUCCGCAGACAAUAAUUGCCAACAUAAUGUUCAAAACAUCCCUUUGAUUCGCUCAUAAGAUAAGUCCUGCAUGGAUUUAUUUUUCAAAACAGACAUUUUCCAGUUCCACUCUGGUGUUAACGUGAUUUUCGAAAUGAGCGGUUCAUGUUCUUCUUUUUCACACAUGCUAUUACGGCAGGAAUCUAUCUCAAGGACGCCUGGCAGAGAUGUAACGAACACAUUUCAGCAAACAGGGCUCUAAAGAAUAUCAUUAACCAUUGUUUUUUUUCGCUCUAACACUGCAUUGAUUUAUUGUCUUUCUCAGACCACACUCGCUGGAGAAAACUAGCUUUUGAUCAUUAGGAAAUAUAUCUAUCUAGAUUUGACUGGCUGUCUCCUUCACUCAACUCAUUUCAUUGGGGAAGCAACACGCUUCAGUGGAUCUCCAACUUUGGAGAGUUUUGGACAGAUUUCCUGAGGAUUUCGACCGACAAAAGAAUUUGACAACUUAUUCGGUUUGAUGCAAUUUGGAUACAAUAUUAAAGCCUGUCAUCACAUUUGCCAAAUGAUGUUACCUUGACAACUUCACAGACUCCUCCAGUGGCGCCAUUUGUCUUGUAACCGAUAUCCUGCCAUCAUCAUCUUUAUCUUCUUUUGAUAUGCUAGUAGUACCCACCCCACCCAGCCUCAAAGCCAAGGCCAUCUGUACAGUUAAACACAUCUUAAACAAGUCCUCGGGGAGACUCUAAACAGACCCUCAAGUGUUUCACACGUAUGCAGAGAGCGAUGCUGUGUCUGCUGCGCACACUGUGUCAGAUCUGAUCCGAACCAGGCUAUGUGCGGGGAGGACAAUUAGGCAGAGACAGAGCUGAGCCAUGCACAGGCGUGCCAAGCCAUGGCAUUAUGCAUCACUCACCUGUCUGGCCAAAUAAACCAAGACAGGGAAACAUCUGCUCAUGUUUUCAAACUUGGCAAAAAAUGCCAUUUUGUUCUCUGUGCGGCAAAAACAGUCAAUUUUAGCUCUCUGUUGCAACAUGGCAUCACUAACAUCUGCAGGCAUUAGUCAC